GACGAACGCUGGCGGCGUGCUUAACACAUGCAAGUCGAACGAGAAGCCAGACUUCGGUUUGGUGGAAAGUGGCGAACGGGUGAGGAACGCGUAGGCAACCUGCCCUUCAGUGGGGAAUAGCCCCGGGAAACCGGGAUUAAUACCGCAUGACGCGCUUUUGUCGCAUGACAGAAGCGUUAAAGCUUUAUGCGCUGAAGGAUGGGCCUGCGUUGCAUUAGGUAGUUGGUGAGGUAACGGCUCACCAAGCCAACGAUGCAUAGCUGGUCUGAGAGGAUGAUCAGCCACACUGGGACUGAGAUACGGCCCAGACUCCUACGGGAGGCAGCAGUGAGGAAUAUUGGACAAUGGGGGGAACCCUGAUCCAGCAACGCCGCGUGAGCGAUGACGCUGCUCUGCAGUGUAAAGCUCUGUUGAGAGGAAAGAACCUGCGGGUAUUGCCCGCACUGACGGUACCUCUCGAGGAAGCACCGGCUAACUCCGU
Molecule: ribosomal RNA, 481 nt
Filed under: uncultured bacterium
Lineage: Bacteria
Description: bacterial SSU rRNA
Rfam family: Bacterial small subunit ribosomal RNA
Source: RNAcentral